CACGUAGGGUGCAAGCGUUGUCCGGAAUUAUUGGGCGUAAAGGGCUCGUAGGCGGUCCCGUCACGUCGGGAGUGAAAACUCGGGGCUCAACCCCGAGCCUGCUUCCGAUACGGGCGGACUAGAGGUAGGUAGGGGAGAACGGAAUUCCUGGUGUAGCGGUGGAAUGCGCAGAUAUCAGGAGGAACACCGGUGGCGAAGGCGGUUCUCUGGGCCUUACCUGACGCUGAGGAGCGAAAGCGUGGGGAGCGAACAGG
This 254-nucleotide ribosomal RNA is filed under the name uncultured bacterium. Its description in RNAcentral is "partial 16S ribosomal RNA". It matches the Rfam family "Bacterial small subunit ribosomal RNA", at positions 524 to 776 of the family's 1533-position model. The record is from RNAcentral.